AGGGGUGUAGCUCAAUUGGUAGAGCGUUGGUCUCCAAAACCAAAGGUCACGGGUUCAAUUCCUGUCGCCCCUG
RNAcentral lists this transfer RNA (73 nucleotides) under Anaerolineaceae bacterium 4572_78. RNAcentral describes it as "tRNA-Trp". It matches the Rfam family "tRNA". Rfam says of the family: Transfer RNA (tRNA) molecules are approximately 80 nucleotides in length. Their secondary structure includes four short double-helical elements and three loops (D, anti-codon, and T loops). Lineage: Bacteria; Bacillati; Chloroflexota; Anaerolineae; Anaerolineales; Anaerolineaceae. RNAcentral also lists the same sequence under 1 other name. The record is from RNAcentral.